AAAUUGAAGAGUUUGAUCAUGGCUCAGAUUGAACGCUGGCGGCAGGCUUAACACAUGCAAGUCGAGCGGUAGCACAGAGAGCUUGCUCUCGGGUGACGAGCGGCGGACGGGUGAGUAAUGUCUGGGAAACUGCCUGAUGGAGGGGGAUAACUACUGGAAACGGUAGCUAAUACCGCAUAACGUCGCAAGACCAAAGUGGGGGACCUUCGGGCCUCAUGCCAUCAGAUGUGCCCAGAUGGGAUUAGCUAGUAGGUGGGGUAACGGCUCACCUAGGCGACGAUCCCUAGCUGGUCUGAGAGGAUGACCAGCCACACUGGAACUGAGACACGGUCCAGACUCCUACGGGAGGCAGCAGUGGGGAAUUUUGGACAAUGGGCGCAAGCCUGAUCCAGCAAUGCCGCGUGAGUGAAGAAGGCCUUCGGGUUGUAAAGCUCUUUUGUCAGGGAAGAAACGGUAGAGGCUAAUAUCCUUUGCUAAUGACGGUACCUGAAGAAUAAGCACCGGCUAACUACGUGCCAGCAGCCGCGGUAAUACGUAGGGUGCAAGCGUUAAUCGGAAUUACUGGGCGUAAAGCGCACGCAGGCGGUCUGUCAAGUCGGAUGUGAAAUCCCCGGGCUUAACCUGGGAACUGCAUUCGAAACUGGCAGGCUAGAGUCUUGUAGAGGGGGGUAGAAUUCCAGGUGUAGCGGUGAAAUGCGUAGAGAUCUGGAGGAAUACC
Molecule: ribosomal RNA, 718 nt
Filed under: Acinetobacter baumannii
Lineage: Bacteria; Pseudomonadati; Pseudomonadota; Gammaproteobacteria; Moraxellales; Moraxellaceae
Description: bacterial SSU rRNA
Rfam family: Bacterial small subunit ribosomal RNA
Source: RNAcentral